Molecule: ribosomal RNA, 429 nt
Filed under: Chloroflexota bacterium
Lineage: Bacteria; Bacillati; Chloroflexota
Description: Chloroflexi bacterium partial 16S ribosomal RNA
Rfam family: Bacterial small subunit ribosomal RNA
Source: RNAcentral
UGGGGAAUAUUGCACAAUGGGCGCAAGCCUGAUGCAGCCAUGCCGCGUGUGUGAAGAAGGCCUUCGGGUUGUAAAGCACUUUCAGCGGGGAGGAAGGCGGUGAGGUUAAUAACCUCAUCGAUUGACGUUACCCGCAGAAGAAGCACCGGCUAACUCCGUGCCAGCAGCCGCGGUAACACGGAGGGUGCAAGCGUUAAUCGGAAUUACUGGGCGUAAAGCGCACGCAGGCGGUCUGUCAAGUCGGAUGUGAAAUCCCCGGGCUCAACCUGGGAACUGCAUUCGAAACUGGCAGGCUAGAGUCUUGUAGAGGGGGGUAGAAUUCCAUGUGUAGCGGUGAAAUGCGUAGAGAUGUGGAGGAAUACCGGUGGCGAAGGCGGCCCCCUGGACAAAGACUGACGCUCAGGUGCGAAAGCGUGGGGAGCAAACAGG